Molecule: long non-coding RNA, 108 nt
Organism: Nomascus leucogenys (northern white-cheeked gibbon)
Lineage: Eukaryota; Metazoa; Chordata; Mammalia; Primates; Hylobatidae
Exons: 3
Source: RefSeq, a predicted model, not a curated record
UUAGCAAUACCGAAGUGAUAGGUGAAGCCAGUUGGACUUCCUGGGUGGAAUGGGGACUUGGAGAACUUUUCUGUCUUACAAGAGGAUUGUAAAAUGCACCAAUCUGCA